RNAcentral lists this ribosomal RNA (484 nucleotides) under uncultured bacterium. RNAcentral's name for it is "partial 16S ribosomal RNA". It matches the Rfam family "Bacterial small subunit ribosomal RNA", at positions 30 to 507 of the family's 1533-position model. The record is from RNAcentral.
AUUGAACGCUGGCGGCAGGCCUAACACAUGCCAGUCGAGCGGAUGAAGGGAGCUUGCUCCUGGAUUCAGCGGCGGACGGGUGAGUAAUGCCUAGGAAUCUGCCUGGUAGUGGGGGAUAACGUCCGGAAACGGGCGCUAAUACCGCAUACGUCUUGAGGGAGAAAGUGGGGGAUCUUCGGACCUCACGCUAUCAGAUGAGCCUAGGUCGGAUUAGCUAGUUGGUGGGGUAAAGGCCUACCAAGGCGACGAUCCGUAACCGGUCUGAGAGGAUGAUCAGUCACACUGGAACUGAGACACGGUCCAGACUCCUACGGGAGGCAGCAGUGGGGAAUAUUGGACAAUGGGCGAAAGCCUGAUCCAGCCAUGCCGCGUGUGUGAAGAAGGUCUUCGGAUUGUAAAGCACUUUAAGUUGGGAGGAAGGGCAGUAAGUUAAUACCUUGCUGUUUUGACGUUACCAACAGAAUAAGCACCGGCUAACUUCGUG